This 372-nucleotide ribosomal RNA is filed under the name uncultured bacterium. RNAcentral's name for it is "bacterial SSU rRNA". It matches the Rfam family "Bacterial small subunit ribosomal RNA", at positions 524 to 898 of the family's 1533-position model. The record is from RNAcentral.
UACGGAGGGUGCAAGCGUUAUCCGGAUUUACUGGGUUUAAAGGGUGCGUAGGCGGGCCCUUAAGUCAGUGGUGAAAGCUCCGAGCUUAACUCGGAAACUGCCAUUGAUACUAUAGGUCUUGAAUUCGGUCGAGGUUGGCGGAAUGUGUCGUGUAGCGGUGAAAUGCUUAGAUAUGACACAGAACACCGAUUGCGAAGGCAGCUAGCUAGACCGACAUUGACGCUGAGGCACGAAAGCGUGGGGAUCAAACAGGAUUAGAAACCCUGGUAGUCCACGCCCUAAACUAUGAUUACUCGAUGUUGGCGAUACACUGCCAGCGUCUAAGCGAAAGCAUUAAGUAAUCCACCUGGGGAGUACGAUCGCAAGAUUGAA